Molecule: ribosomal RNA, 240 nt
Filed under: uncultured bacterium
Lineage: Bacteria
Description: partial 16S ribosomal RNA
Rfam family: Bacterial small subunit ribosomal RNA
Source: RNAcentral
UACGAAGGGGGCUAGCGUUGCUCGGAAUCACUGGGCGUAAAGGGCGCGUAGGCGGCGUUUUAAGUCGGGGGUGAAAAGCCUGUGGCUCAACCACAGAAUGGCCCUUCGAUACUGGGACGCUUGAGUAUGGUAGAGGUUGGUGGAACUGCGAGUGUAGAGGUGAAAUUCGUAGAUAUUCGCAAGAACACCGGUGGCGAAGGCGGCCAACUGGACCAUUACUGACGCUGAGGCGCGAAAGCG